AUGUUUAAAUAUUGGCUCUCUUACCAAGAGUUAUGGGCUAUUUUAAGUCGAGUUCUACUGUCGUAGGUGAGAACUGCAACGCUAAGAUCCUGCAGAAAUGGAGCAUCAUCUCCCAUCAGUGCUCGGAGAGGGGAGAGGAGGGGUCGGUGCACCCUAUAAAAAUGUCUUAAAUCGUCUAUAGAAGUAUUUUAAAUCGGGACAUCAACACCUGACCGGUGGCCUGAGCCGACGAAGACAUCGAAUAAAUUUUUACUCUUUUUAGGUUGACAAAAAAAAGGUAAAUAUACGUGUGGUUGUAAGGUGACCCCAAAUGCAUAAAUUUUACCUUCUACUUAUUAUAUGA
RNAcentral lists this long non-coding RNA (343 nucleotides) under Jatropha curcas. RNAcentral's name for it is "long non-coding RNA (JCUR_LNC000661)". The record is from RNAcentral. Lineage: Eukaryota; Viridiplantae; Streptophyta; Magnoliopsida; Malpighiales; Euphorbiaceae.